This 292-nucleotide ribosomal RNA is filed under the name uncultured bacterium. Its description in RNAcentral is "partial 16S ribosomal RNA". It matches the Rfam family "Bacterial small subunit ribosomal RNA", at positions 505 to 796 of the family's 1533-position model. The record is from RNAcentral.
GUGCCAGCAGCCGCGGUAAUACGGAGGGAGCUAGCGUUAUUCGGAAUUACUGGGCGUAAAGCGCACGUAGGCGGCUUUGUAAGUAAGAGGUGAAAGCCCAGAGCUCAACUCUGGAAUUGCCUUUUAGACUGCAUCGCUUGAAUCAUGGAGAGGUCAGUGGAAUUCCGAGUGUAGAGGUGAAAUUCGUAGAUAUUCGGAAGAACACCAGUGGCGAAGGCGGCUGACUGGACAUGUAUUGACGCUGAGGUGCGAAAGCGUGGGGAGCAAACAGGAUUAGAAACCCUAGUAGUCC